This 434-nucleotide ribosomal RNA is filed under the name uncultured Ruminococcus sp. RNAcentral's name for it is "partial 16S ribosomal RNA". It matches the Rfam family "Bacterial small subunit ribosomal RNA", at positions 341 to 792 of the family's 1533-position model. The record is from RNAcentral. Lineage: Bacteria; Bacillati; Bacillota; Clostridia; Eubacteriales; Oscillospiraceae.
ACGGAAGGCAGCAGUGGGGAAUAUUGCACAAUGGGCGCAAGCCUGAUGUAGCGAUGCCGCGUGAGGGAAGAAGGUUUUCGGAUUGUAAGCCUCUGUCAACAGGGACGAUAAUGACUGUACCUGUGAGGGAAGCUCCGGCUAACUACGUGCCAGCAGCCGCGGUAAUACGUAGGGAGCAAGCGUUAUCCGGAAUUACUGGGUGUAAAGGGAGUGUAGGCGGGACUGUAAGUCAGAUGUGAAAUAUGCCGGCUCAACUGGCAGACUGCAUUUGAAACUGCGGUUCUUGAGUGAAGUAGAGGUAAGCGGAAUUCCUAGUGUAGCGGUGAAAUGCGUAGAUAUUAGGAGGAACAUCAGUGGCGAAGGCGGCUUACUGGGCUUUAACUGACGCUGAGGCUCGAAAGCGUGGGGAGCAAACAGGAUUAGAUACCCUGGUA